UAUGCGAUCUCCUAUUCGAUCGUGUCAGUCUGUUUCCAGAGCUGGUGGCCACAGCUGCUUGGUAUCUCUGGUGGCAGAGAAGACGUGAAGUUCAUCACGAGAGACCCAGGCGUGUGACCGAGCUGCUUUCUCCAUUGCUGCACUGGCUCAGAACUUUACGAGAGCGGCAUCUCAUGAUAAGGCAGUACUCGUUCCGUUUCAUGAAACAAUACAUACUAGAUUUUUUUGAUUUGUUACACAAAUCAACACGUUUUUUUUCUUGGUUCCCGCAUCCGGCUAUAAUAACGGUUCACAUCCAUUUAGUACUAAUGUAGUAUAAGUGUUCGGACACUAAGAACGAGAGUUGUCUUAAUCUAAGUGCACAAAACUAUAUGAUGUGUUUUUUGUAAUGGAGGAAGUAGUAAAGAAGGCCGGCUGGUUGAGGCUGCCUGUUGAUUGUGUUAAAGUGAAUGUCGAUGCUGGUAUUGAUCCUGAUGAAUUGUGUGGAACUGUUGCUGCCGUGAUAAGAAAUAAUCAGGCUGUUUUUGUGACUCCUAUUAAAUGCAAGCUGGAGUGUGUGCCGGACGUUAUGACGGCUGAACCUUUUGCUCUCAGUCUCGGCCUGGAGCUUGCUCUUCUUAAUGGCUGCACAAAGGCCGUUUUUAGCUCGGAUAAUCUUCAGCUUAUCCAGAUUCUUAAGGGGGAGGUUCAGAAUUAUUGUCCGGCUGCUGCUCUUGUGAAGAGGCCCCUGCUUCCUCUCGGUUUGAUAUUCCACCCCGGUGCAUUGGGACUCGGCUGCGGUGACGUACUGCCCGUAGGUGGGGCCGGUCCCACGUGUCAGUGACUGUAAAGUCAGGGGCAUACUUCACUAAAUCCUCGUCGCGUGCAUUAUACCUCAUUUGGUUGAUGGUGUAACACCUAUUGUGAUAAGAAAUAAUCAGGAUGUUUUUUUUUUGUUGAGGGUUUGAGAGCUGUAUGUUGGGCAAUUUGGAAGACCUAGAAUGGGGGUUGUUUUGAAAAGAAAGUCUUACAUCAUCCUGAAUCUAUCGUUUUCUCCUUGUGCUCCUUUCUUCAGUUCUGGGCAAGUCUACAGAAGGGGCCUCGCCAACUACCGAUGAACGAUGGAGCUUGGCCUGUUGUGGCAGAUGGUGGUGCUACUGAGACGAUCUCGAGGAAGACUGUCGGCUCUUGGGAAGCUCCAGAUGACUGUUGAAGCUCGGUUGUCGGUGUUUUGCACGAAACUCUACCGUUGCAUUGGCAUUUGAUCCUUUUUUUGGAUCUGUAAUAUGUUAUCGCUCUAUCAUGUAUCAGGAUUUUGUUCCUGUAGUCUGUCUGAAACCCCUCUUUUCGACUUGUAGCGUGGCAAAGGGGGUCGAGUCGGCCCUAUUCGCAAUGAGUUUCCUGCUGGUUUUAUGUU
This is a long non-coding RNA of Brachypodium distachyon (stiff brome), 1396 nucleotides long. RefSeq lists it as uncharacterized. The transcript is spliced from 2 exons. NCBI's taxonomy places the organism in Eukaryota, Viridiplantae, Streptophyta, Magnoliopsida, Poales, Poaceae. The record is from RefSeq and is a predicted model, not a curated record.